This 223-nucleotide ribosomal RNA is filed under the name uncultured bacterium. Its description in RNAcentral is "partial 16S ribosomal RNA". It matches the Rfam family "Bacterial small subunit ribosomal RNA", at positions 328 to 539 of the family's 1533-position model. The record is from RNAcentral.
ACGCUCGACACCUACGGGAGGCAGCAGUAGGGAAUUUUCGUCAAUGGGGGGAACCCUGAACGAGCAAUGCCGCGUGAGUGAAGAAGGUCUUCGGAUCGUAAAGCUCUGUUGUAAGAGAAAAACGGACUCCAUAGGGAAUGAUGGAGGAGUGAUGGUAUCUUACCAGAAAGCCACGGCUAACUACGUGCAAGCAGCCGCGGUAAUCUGAGCGGGCUGGCAAGGC